GGUAGCGUGGCCGAGUUGGUCUAAGGCGUUGGAUUUAAGAAGUUUGAAUCCCAAUGGGCGAAAGUCCGCGCGAGUUCGAACCUCGCCGCUACCA
Pisolithus microcarpus 441 is the source of this 94-nucleotide transfer RNA. It matches the Rfam family "tRNA". From Rfam's summary of the family: Transfer RNA (tRNA) molecules are approximately 80 nucleotides in length. Their secondary structure includes four short double-helical elements and three loops (D, anti-codon, and T loops). The record is from Rfam. Lineage: Eukaryota; Fungi; Basidiomycota; Agaricomycetes; Boletales; Pisolithaceae.